This 465-nucleotide ribosomal RNA is filed under the name uncultured bacterium. RNAcentral's name for it is "bacterial SSU rRNA". It matches the Rfam family "Bacterial small subunit ribosomal RNA", at positions 56 to 526 of the family's 1533-position model. The record is from RNAcentral.
UGCAAGUCGCACGAGAACCAAUUAGCUUGCUAUGAGGUGGACAGUGGCGAAAGGGAGAGUAACGCGUGGUUACAUGCCCUCGAGACCGGGAUAGUGUUGGGAAACUGGCAGUAAUACCGGAUAACAUCUUCGGAUCAAAUGGUGUGAUUCCGCUCGAGGAUUGGACCGCGUACUAUUAGCUUGUUGGUGAGGUAACGGCUCACCAAGGCUGCGAUGGUUACCGGGUGUGAGAGCAUGGCCCGGCUCACUGGGACUGAGACACUGCCCAGACAUCUACGGAUGGCUGCAGUCGAGAAUCUUCGGCAAUGGACGAAAGUCUGACCGAGCGACGCCGCGUGCGGGAUGAAGGCCCUCGGGUUGUAAACCGCUGUCAGUUAGGAGGAAAUCCAUGAGGGUUCUCCCUCAUGGUUGACCGAUUUUCAGAGGAAGGACGGGCUAAGUUCGUGCCAGCAGCCGCGGUAAUAC